UUGAUUGUCGUGGUUCCUGACCUGGUGCCACUGCUUGCCUCAAGCCUUUUUGCCACAUCGCUGUUCCCUGUUACUAACCCUGUCUGUCUGCCUUUCCCCAGGUCCACUCACCUCCUCUCUUCCACAGCCCCCUGUGCCUCCCAGUUCCCUCGUCCCAGGCUUCUUGGUCCCACCUGCUCCUCAGCUCCCUUGCCUCAGCCCACUUUGCCCUACUUGCUCCUCGGUCCCCCGUGCCCGUGUUCCCCCGGCAUCCACCUCUCCCUCACCUCCACUUCCUCAACCCCUUUUUCCCUCAAACCAACUUCACCUAAGCGUUGCUUUUGGGUCCUCUCUGUCCCACACACACAACAUGGUUAUGUUUCAAAGUAUUUAAGCAGUGCAGGCAUUUUUAUUUUGUUUUGUAGCACUCUUUGAAGUAACAUUGAAAUCCAAUAAACCAAACAAAUAUUAAAGACACACAGGAUGUGUGAGGGUUUAAAAAAAAAAAUAAUAAAAAAAAAAUAAAAAAAGAUUGGGGUUGUAGUAAAGAUCCUCAAUUUAUUUUUAUUCACCUUUCACUUACCUCACUUCCUUUAGUUCCUUUUCUCAUCACUGAUUGGCUCCCGCUUUCACCUUUCAUUUCUCCUGAUUGACUUGAUUGAGUUCACCUGUUCACACUAUUUAAGGACUGUACUCCCUUUCACUCACUCUUUCACUUCCACAUGGGGUGGCAAUUCUGAUUGAACAACUUAUGUGUCUCUUUUUCCUGAUUAUGUUGACCAAUGCAUCCUUUACAUUGGAAGACAUAAAACGUUGUUCAGAGGACAUUCCAAGUUUCCUGGCUCAGUUCUACGCAUUCUGACCAAUGCGCCCAAUGACAAUAGUAAUAGUAUUUGAACUGAUACAUGUUGAAAGAAGGUGUAUGAUAUUUGAUAAAUAAGCUUACACAGGAAUUCCUUUAAGCGAGUAGGUAGGCAUAAACUAUGCUUUUGUAGGAGUCUAAUGCUCAACAUUUUCUGUUCCUGAUACUUGACAUUUGGUUGCACAAUUUUAUUAUUUGUCUGUUGCCAUAACAAUAUCUUGUUCUUAGCCAAUAUCUAAAAUAUGUGACCUAGAAACUGUUUAAAACUACCACAAAACCAACUUUUAUUCCUUCCAACUUUCUUCCUUCAAAAAUAAAAGCUCACAUCUCCAAACACCUUAAGUCAGUGAGAGAGAAUUUUGGUUGCCAACUGCUUUCUAAGUGACUUAUGAUUCCAGCUAGCGGUGAAUUGCUUAGCCAAAAUCUUGAUUUAGUGCUCUUCAAGCAGUUUGUGGAAGUUGAAUGUCAAAUUUCAUAGGAUGGUUGUUUGCACACGCUUUGUGGAUUUCUGCUUUUUACUGCUUCUACUUCGGUAUUUUUCAAGCAAAUUCUGACUCCAUUCAGCUGCUGAAGACAAAUCAGGAGAUGGUGCUGUACUAUGGAUGUUUUGCUGUACCCAUUUAAAAAAUAAAAUAAAUUUCCCAUGCGCCACUGCAUGCAUCUGU
Micropterus dolomieu (smallmouth bass) is the source of this 1506-nucleotide long non-coding RNA. RefSeq lists it as uncharacterized. The transcript has 2 exons. NCBI's taxonomy places the organism in Eukaryota, Metazoa, Chordata, Actinopteri, Centrarchiformes, Centrarchidae. The record is from RefSeq and is a predicted model, not a curated record.